GGUCAAGUUAUUAAGGGUGCAGGGCGGAUGCCUUGGCACUAGGAGCCGAUGAAGGACGUGAUAAGCCGCGAUAAGCUUCGGGGAGUUGCACGUAAACUUUGAUCCGAAGAUUUCCGAAUGAGGAAACUCACUUAGAGUAAUGUCUAAGUAUCAUUAAGAAUACAUAGCUUAAUGAGGGAACUCAGGGAACUGAAACAUCUAAGUACCUGAAGAAGAGAAAGAAAUUGAUUCCGUAAGUAGCGGCGAGCGAACGCGGAUUAGCCCAAACCAAUAAAGUUUUUUUAUUGGGGUUGCGGACAUAUCAUAACGAAGAGGUAUCGUAAUUGAAGAGGUUUGGAAAGACCCACCACAGAAGGUAAUAGUCCUGUAUGUUAAACGAGAAGACUUUAGAUAUGAUCCAGAGUACCACGGGACACGUGAAACCCUGUGGGAAGUAGGAGGGACCACCCUCCAAGGCUAAAUACUACCUAGUGACCGAUAGCGUAUAGUACCGUGAGGGAAAGGUGAAAAGAACCCCGGGAGGGAGUGAAAUAGAACCUGAAACCCUGCACUUACAAGCUGUGGAAGCAUUUCUUGUGUGACCGCGUACUUUGUAGAACGGGCCAACGAGUUACGUUAAGUAGCAAGGUUAAGCACUUAAGGUGUGGAGCCGUAGCGAAAGCGAGUUUUAACUGAGCGUUCAGUUACUUGACGUAGACCCGAAACCGGGCGACCUACCCAUGAGCAGGAUGAAGCGAAAGUAAAAUUUCGUGGAGGUCCGAACCCACGAGCGUUGAAAAGCUCGGGGAUGACUUGUGGGUAGCGGUGAAAUUCCAAUCGAGCCCGGAGAUAGCUGGUUCUCCCCGAAAUAGCUUUAGG
Molecule: ribosomal RNA, 858 nt
Filed under: Clostridioides difficile
Lineage: Bacteria; Bacillati; Bacillota; Clostridia; Peptostreptococcales; Peptostreptococcaceae
Description: partial 23S ribosomal RNA
Rfam family: Bacterial large subunit ribosomal RNA
Source: RNAcentral